RNAcentral lists this transfer RNA (85 nucleotides) under Candidatus Kaiserbacteria bacterium CG_4_9_14_0_2_um_filter_41_32. RNAcentral describes it as "tRNA-Leu". It matches the Rfam family "tRNA". From Rfam's summary of the family: Transfer RNA (tRNA) molecules are approximately 80 nucleotides in length. Their secondary structure includes four short double-helical elements and three loops (D, anti-codon, and T loops). Lineage: Bacteria; Candidatus Kaiseribacteriota. The record is from RNAcentral.
GCCCAGGUGCUGUAACUGGUAGCCAGGCACGCUUGAGGUGUGUGUGGAGUAAUCCGUGGAGGUUCAAGUCCUCUCCUGGGCACAA